GCCUAGCCCUAAAUCUAGAUACUUACCCAACCAAAGUAUCCGCCUGAGAACUACGAGCACAAACGCUUAAAACUCUAAGGACUUGGCGGUGCCCCAAACCCACCUAGAGGAGCCUGUUCUGUAAUCGAUAACCCACGAUACACCCGACCCCUUCUUGCCCAAAGCAGCCUACAUACCGCCGUCCCCAGCUCACCUUAUUUGAGAGCCCAAACAGUGAGCGCAACAGCAACGCUAGUAAGACAGGUCAAGGUAUAGCCCAUGAAGGGGAAGAAAUGGGCUACAUUUUCUAGCAUAGAAAACGAAAGGAGGCCUGAAAAGACUUCCAGAAGGAGGAUUUAGUAGUAAAGACGGACAAGAAUGCCCUCUUAAACUUGGCCCUGGGA
RNAcentral lists this ribosomal RNA (383 nucleotides) under Zapornia tabuensis (spotless crake). RNAcentral describes it as "partial 12S small subunit ribosomal RNA". It matches the Rfam family "Bacterial small subunit ribosomal RNA", at positions 794 to 1379 of the family's 1533-position model. Lineage: Eukaryota; Metazoa; Chordata; Aves; Gruiformes; Rallidae. The record is from RNAcentral.